CCUACGGGAGGCAGCAGUGGGGAAUUUUGGACAAUGGGCGCAAGCCUGAUCCAGCCAUGCCGCGUGCGGGAAGAAGGCCUUCGGGUUGUAAACCGCUUUUGUCAGGGAAGAAAUCCUUUGGGUUAAUACCUCGGAGGGAUGACGGUACCUGAAGAAUAAGCACCGGCUAACUACGUGCCAGCAGCCGCGGUAAUACGUAGGGUGCGAGCGUUAAUCGGAAUUACUGGGCGUAAAGCGUGCGCAGGCGGUUAUGCAAGACAGAUGUGAAAUCCCCGGGCUCAACCUGGGAACUGCAUUUGUGACUGCAUAGCUAGAGUACGGUAGAGGGGGAUGGAAUUCCGCGUGUAGCAGUGAAAUGCGUAGAUAUGCGGAGGAACACCGAUGGCGAAGGCAAUCCCCUGGACCUGUACUGACGCUCAUGCACGAAAGCGUGGGGAGCAAACAGGAUUAGAUACCCUGGUAGUCCACGCCCUAAACGAUGUCAACUGGUUGUUGGACGGCUUGCUGUUCAGUACGAAGCUAACGCGNGAGUGACGCGNGGGAGGUAACGGUCGCGAGUUAGUAACGUUACGAAGAAGUUAGACGGCGNGAGAGNGCGACGGACGACGACGAGGGAGGAGG
RNAcentral lists this ribosomal RNA (621 nucleotides) under uncultured bacterium. RNAcentral describes it as "bacterial SSU rRNA". The stretch from base 1 to 538 matches the Rfam family "Bacterial small subunit ribosomal RNA", at positions 338 to 873 of the family's 1533-position model. The record is from RNAcentral.